Fukomys damarensis (Damara mole-rat) is the source of this 123-nucleotide non-coding RNA. The record is from Rfam. Lineage: Eukaryota; Metazoa; Chordata; Mammalia; Rodentia; Bathyergidae.
GUAGUGUAUGAAAGGAGGGAAGGUUAGCACUCCCCUUGACAAAGAUGGAAGAGGCCUUUGGGCCUGACAAUACAUGUGAAAGUAAGGACUAUUUUUAAGAAGGAUCCUAGGCUGAUGAUUUGU